RNAcentral lists this transfer RNA (86 nucleotides) under Streptomyces sp. NEAU-sy36. RNAcentral describes it as "tRNA-Leu". It matches the Rfam family "tRNA". Rfam says of the family: Transfer RNA (tRNA) molecules are approximately 80 nucleotides in length. Their secondary structure includes four short double-helical elements and three loops (D, anti-codon, and T loops). The record is from RNAcentral. Lineage: Bacteria; Bacillati; Actinomycetota; Actinomycetes; Kitasatosporales; Streptomycetaceae.
GGAGAGGUGCCCGGAGUGGCUUAUCGGGGACCACGAGACGGUCGGGCCCCUCGGGGCCCGCGCAGGUUCGAAUCCUGCCCUCUCCG